GACGGAGGAGGCAAGCGUUAUCCGGAAUUAUUGGGCGUAAAGCGUCCGCAGGUGGCCCCUCAAGUCUGCUGUUAAAGCCCAGGGCUCAACCCUGGAGAAGCAGUGGAAACUGAGAGGCUAGAGUGCGGUAGGGGUAGAGGGAAUUCCCGGUGUAGCGGUGAAAUGCGUAGAGAUCGGGAAGAACACCAGUGGCGAAAGCGCUCUGCUGGACCGCAACUGACACUGAUGGACGAAAGCUAGGGGAGCGAAUGGGAUUAGAUACCCCAGUAGUCCUAGCCGUAAACGAUGGACACUAGGUGUUGCGCGUAUCGACCCGUGCAGUGCCGUAGCCAACGCGUUAAGUGUCCCGCCUGGGGAGU
RNAcentral lists this ribosomal RNA (359 nucleotides) under uncultured Thermosynechococcaceae cyanobacterium. RNAcentral describes it as "bacterial SSU rRNA". It matches the Rfam family "Bacterial small subunit ribosomal RNA", at positions 524 to 881 of the family's 1533-position model. The record is from RNAcentral. Lineage: Bacteria; Bacillati; Cyanobacteriota; Cyanophyceae; Acaryochloridales; Thermosynechococcaceae.